Molecule: transfer RNA, 82 nt
Filed under: Ampelomyces quisqualis
Lineage: Eukaryota; Fungi; Ascomycota; Dothideomycetes; Pleosporales; Phaeosphaeriaceae
Rfam family: tRNA
About the family: Transfer RNA (tRNA) molecules are approximately 80 nucleotides in length.
Source: Rfam by way of RNAcentral
GGAGGGAUAAUGCAGUGGUGAAGCACCUGGUACCCUCUGUAGUUGCAGCCACAGGUUGCAGGUUCAAAUCCUACUCUCUCCU